Molecule: ribosomal RNA, 274 nt
Filed under: uncultured bacterium
Lineage: Bacteria
Description: partial 16S ribosomal RNA
Rfam family: Bacterial small subunit ribosomal RNA
Source: RNAcentral
AUACGGAGGGUGCAAGCGUUAUUCGGAAUCACUGGGCGUAAAGGACGCGUAGGCGGGUUGGCAAGUCAGAUGUGAAAUCCUACAGCUUAACUGUAGAACUGCAUUUGAAACUGCUAACCUAGAGUAUGGGAGGGGGAGAUGGAAUUAGUGGUGUAGGGGUAAAAUCCGUAGAUAUCACUGGGAAUACCGAAAGCGAAGGCGAUCUCCUGGAACAUAACUGACGCUAAGGCGUGAAAGCGUGGGGAGCAAACAGGAUUAGAUACCCUAGUAGUCC